GGCUCGUUGGUCUAGGGGUAUGAUUCUCGCUUUGGGUGCGAGAGGUCCCGGGUUCAAUUUUCUCGGACGAGCCC
Non-coding RNA from Ictalurus punctatus (channel catfish), 74 nucleotides. NCBI's taxonomy places the organism in Eukaryota, Metazoa, Chordata, Actinopteri, Siluriformes, Ictaluridae. The record is from the annotation of a RefSeq genome assembly.